Molecule: ribosomal RNA, 492 nt
Filed under: uncultured bacterium
Lineage: Bacteria
Description: partial 16S ribosomal RNA
Rfam family: Bacterial small subunit ribosomal RNA
Source: RNAcentral
AGUGAACGCUGGCGGUAGGCCUAACACAUGCAAGUCGAACGGCAGCACAGUAAGAGCUUGCUCUUACGGGUGGCGAGUGGCGGACGGGUGAGGAAUACAUCGGAAUCUACUUUUUCGUGGGGGAUAACGUAGGGAAACUUACGCUAAUACCGCAUACGACCUACGGGUGAAAGCAGGGGAUCUUCGGACCUUGCGCGAUUGAAUGAGCCGAUGUCGGAUUAGCUAGUUGGCGGGGUAAAGGCCCACCAAGGCGACGAUCCGUAGCUGGUCUGAGAGGAUGAUCAGCCACACUGGAGCUGAGACACGGCCCAGACUCCUACGGGAGGCAGCAGUGGGGAAUAUUGGACAAUGGGCGCAAGCCUGAUCCAGCCAUACCGCGUGGGUGAAGAAGGCCUUCGGGUUGUAAAGCCCUUUUGUUGGGAAAGAAAAGCAGCAGGUUAAUACCCCGCUGUUCUGACGGUACCCAAAGAAUAAGCACCGGCUAACUUCGUG